UACGGAGGAUGCGAGCGUUAUCCGGAUUUAUUGGGUUUAAAGGGUGCGUAGGCGGUUUGAUAAGUUAGAGGUGAAAUGUCGGGGCUCAACCCCGAAACUGCCUCUAAUACUGUUGGACUAGAGAAUAGCUGCGGUAGGCGGAAUGUAUGGUGUAGCGGUGAAAUGCUUAGAGAUCAUACAGAACACCGAUUGCGAAGGCAGCUUACCAAACUAUAUCUGACGUUGAGGCACGAAAGCGUGGGUAGCAAACAGG
RNAcentral lists this ribosomal RNA (253 nucleotides) under uncultured bacterium. Its description in RNAcentral is "partial 16S ribosomal RNA". It matches the Rfam family "Bacterial small subunit ribosomal RNA", at positions 524 to 776 of the family's 1533-position model. The record is from RNAcentral.